CAGCCGCCGCGGUAAUACCGGCGGCCCGAGUGGCGGUCACUAUUAUUGGGCUUAAAGCGUCCGUAGCCGGGUUGGGAAGUCCUCCGGGAAAUCUGGCCGCUUAACGGUCAGAAUGCCGGAGGAUACUCCCAGCCUAGGGGGCGGGAGAGGCCGAGGGGAUUCCCGGAGUAGGGGGGAAAUCCUAUAAUCCCGGGAGGACCACCUGUGGCGAAGGCGCUCGGCUGGAACGCGUCCGACGGUGAGGGACGAAGGCCAGGGGAGCAAACCGGAUUAGAUACCCGGGUAGUCCUGGCGGUAAACGAUGCGGACUUUGUGUCGGACAAGCUAUGAGCUUGUCCGGUGCCGGAGGGAAACCGUUAAGUCCGCCGCCUGGGGAGUACGGCCGCAAGGCUGAAACUUAAAGGAAUUGGCGGG
This 414-nucleotide ribosomal RNA is filed under the name uncultured microorganism. RNAcentral's name for it is "bacterial SSU rRNA". It matches the Rfam family "Archaeal small subunit ribosomal RNA", at positions 459 to 872 of the family's 1478-position model. The record is from RNAcentral.